Molecule: ribosomal RNA, 377 nt
Filed under: uncultured bacterium
Lineage: Bacteria
Description: bacterial SSU rRNA
Rfam family: Bacterial small subunit ribosomal RNA
Source: RNAcentral
UAAUACGUAGGGGGCAAGCGUUGUCCGGAUUUAUUGGGCGUAAAGAGCGUGUAGGCGGUUAGGUAGGUCCGUUGUGAAAACUCGAGGCUCAACCUCGAGACGCCGAUGGAAACCAUCUGACUAGAGUCCGGAAGAGGAGAGUGGAAUUCCUGGUGUAGCGGUGAAAUGCGCAGAUAUCAGGAAGAACACCCGUGGCUAAGGCGGCUCUCUAGUACGUGACUGACGCUGAGACGCGAAAGCGUGGGGAGCGAACAGGAUUAGAUACCCUGGUAGUCCACGCCGUAAACGAUGGGUGCUAGGUGUAGGGGGUGUCGACUCCCUCUGUGCCGAAGCUAACGCAUUAAGCACCCCGCCUGGGGAGUACGGCCGCAAGGCUA